CUGGGAAAGAGCUGGGGGGGGGUCGGGUUGGGGGUCCCUGGGUGUUGGGGGGGUGCAGGGUUGGAGGUGGCCCCUCAUCUCAUUUGGAGCCUUUCUGGGUGAAUCCAAAGUGCUACAGGGAUUGCUCAGCGGGAUGAUGGCUUGGGAUGGCGGGUCCCCCUCCACAGGAGCGGGGCUGGCAGGACAGCCGAAGGCUCCUCUGAGGAUCUUGAGAAAUGGUCUUCCCAGUGAUCUGCCCUUGUGCCAGGAGCUGCCUGCUGGGACCUGGGGAGUCCCACCUGCCUCUGCUGCGCAGAAGAUGAUCGCCACCGCUGCUUGUGCCGUUCGGAGAGGAUGGAUCCGGGUGAGGUGGGAUGAGAUGGUGCUGACCCCGCUGCUGCCACGCGCUGCCUGCCGCCUGCCUGUGCUGCCUGCACCCGCGGGAAGCUGGAAGGCACUUGUGCCCGCCGCGGGAGCUGCUGAGGCCAAAACUCUCCGGCUGCCAACAACGG
Long non-coding RNA from Tyto alba (common barn owl), 491 nucleotides. RefSeq lists it as uncharacterized. The transcript has 3 exons. The record is from RefSeq and is a predicted model, not a curated record. NCBI's taxonomy places the organism in Eukaryota, Metazoa, Chordata, Aves, Strigiformes, Tytonidae.